GCAGUCGAACGGUAACAGGAAUUAGCUUGCUAAUUUGCUGACGAGUGGCGCACGGGUGCGUAACGCGUAUACAAUCUACCUUUUGCUGAGGGAUAGCCCAGAGAAAUUUGGAUUAAUACCUCAUGGUAUUAUUGAUAGGCAUCUAUUAAUAAUUAAAGGUUACGGCAAAAGAUGAGUAUGCGUCCCAUUAGCUAGUUGGCGAGGUAACGGCUCACCAAGGCAACGAUGGGUAGGGGUCCUGAGAGGGAGAUCCCCCACACUGGUACUGAGACACGGACCAGACUCCUACGGGAGGCAGCAGUGAGGAAUAUUGGACAAUGGGCGAGAGCCUGAUCCAGCCAUGCCGCGUGCAGGAAGACUGCCCUAUGGGUUGUAAACUGCUUUUAUACAGGAAGAAUAAGCCUUACGUGUAAGGUGAUGACGGUACUGUAAGAAUAAGGACCGGCUAACUCCGUGCCAGCAGCCGCGGUAAUACGGAGGGUCCGAGCGUUAUCCGGAAUUAUUGGGUUUAAAGGGUCCGUAGGCGGAUGAUUAAGUCAGGGGUGAAAGUUUGCAGCUCAACUGUAAAAUUGCCUUUGAUACUGGUCAUC
RNAcentral lists this ribosomal RNA (590 nucleotides) under uncultured bacterium. Its description in RNAcentral is "bacterial SSU rRNA". It matches the Rfam family "Bacterial small subunit ribosomal RNA", at positions 57 to 641 of the family's 1533-position model. The record is from RNAcentral.